Non-coding RNA from Lonchura striata (white-rumped munia), 214 nucleotides. The record is from RefSeq and is a predicted model, not a curated record. NCBI's taxonomy places the organism in Eukaryota, Metazoa, Chordata, Aves, Passeriformes, Estrildidae.
AUAACACUUUCAAGUCUAUAGUAGCUCCUUCUGGAUGCUACCCAGAAGGGGAAGAAGAAAAAAGACAAGCAGGAGUUUAUUGCCACAAUGCUUCUCAUACAAGACUUUCCAAAUUGUAUCCAAGUCAGCCACUCUACUGGCCCCUGCAUAAAAUACGUCCUGAUAACAGGAAGUGGUUACCCUGUGAUUUUGAAAAAAAAAAACAACUGUUUGA